This 449-nucleotide ribosomal RNA is filed under the name uncultured bacterium. Its description in RNAcentral is "bacterial SSU rRNA". It matches the Rfam family "Bacterial small subunit ribosomal RNA", at positions 330 to 794 of the family's 1533-position model. The record is from RNAcentral.
ACCAGACUCCUACGGGAGGCAGCAGUGGGGAAUAUUGGGCAAUGGGCGCAAGCCUGACCCAGCAAUGCCGCGUGAAGGAAGAAGGCUUUCGGGUUGUAAACUUCUUUGACAGGGGAAGAGCAGAAGACGGUACCCUGAAAACAAGCCACGGCUAACUACGUGCCAGCAGCCGCGGUAAUACGUAGGGGGCAAGCGUUAUCCGGAAUUACUGGGUGUAAAGGGAGCGCAGACGGCAGUGCAAGUCUGGAGUGAAAGCCCGUGGCUUAACUACGGGACUGCUCUGGAAACUGUGCAGCUAGAGUGCAGGAGAGGCAGGCGGAAUUCCUAGUGUAGCGGUGAAAUGCGUAGAUAUUAGGAGGAACACCGGUGGCGAAGGCGGCCUGCUGGACUGUAACUGACGUUGAGGCUCGAAAGCGUGGGGAGCAAACAGGAUUAGAUACCCGCGUAAU